GCGGGUGUGGUGAAAUUGGUAAACACGCUAGACUUAGGAUCUAGUGCCGUGAGGUGUGAGAGUUCGAGUCUCUCCGCCUGUA
This 82-nucleotide transfer RNA is filed under the name Flavobacterium sp. RNAcentral describes it as "tRNA-Leu". It matches the Rfam family "tRNA". From Rfam's summary of the family: Transfer RNA (tRNA) molecules are approximately 80 nucleotides in length. Their secondary structure includes four short double-helical elements and three loops (D, anti-codon, and T loops). Further hydrogen bonds mediate the characteristic L-shaped molecular structure. tRNAs have two regions of fundamental functional importance: the anti-codon, which is responsible for specific mRNA codon recognition, and the 3' end, to which the tRNAs corresponding amino acid is attached (by aminoacyl-tRNA synthetases). tRNAs cope with the degeneracy of the genetic code in two manners: having more than one tRNA (with a specific anti-codon) for a particular amino acid; and 'wobble' base-pairing, i.e. permitting non-standard base-pairing at the 3rd anti-codon position. Lineage: Bacteria; Pseudomonadati; Bacteroidota; Flavobacteriia; Flavobacteriales; Flavobacteriaceae. The record is from RNAcentral.